RNAcentral lists this transfer RNA (72 nucleotides) under Sphaerodactylus townsendi. Its description in RNAcentral is "tRNA-Val". It matches the Rfam family "tRNA". From Rfam's summary of the family: Transfer RNA (tRNA) molecules are approximately 80 nucleotides in length. Their secondary structure includes four short double-helical elements and three loops (D, anti-codon, and T loops). The record is from RNAcentral. Lineage: Eukaryota; Metazoa; Chordata; Lepidosauria; Squamata; Sphaerodactylidae.
AGGGGUGUGGCUCAGUGGUGGAGCAUCUGCUUGACAUGCAAAAAGGCCCAGGUUCUAUUCCUGGCAUAUUUA